This 253-nucleotide ribosomal RNA is filed under the name uncultured bacterium. Its description in RNAcentral is "partial 16S ribosomal RNA". It matches the Rfam family "Bacterial small subunit ribosomal RNA", at positions 524 to 776 of the family's 1533-position model. The record is from RNAcentral.
GAAAGAGGGUGCAAGCGUUACUCGGAAUCACUGGGCGUAAAGGGCGCGUAGGCGGCCUAGCAAGUCUGGUGUGAAAGCCCAGGGCUCAACCCUGGAAGGGCACUGGAAACUGUUAGGCUUGAGUUCCGGAGAGGAGGGGGGAAUUCCCGGUGUAGCGGUGAAAUGCGUAGAUAUCGGGAGGAAUACCGGUGGCGAAGGCGCCCCUCUGGACGGAAACUGACGCUGAGGCGCGAAAGCGUGGGGAGCAAACAGG